RNAcentral lists this ribosomal RNA (1000 nucleotides) under uncultured bacterium. RNAcentral's name for it is "bacterial SSU rRNA". It matches the Rfam family "Bacterial small subunit ribosomal RNA", at positions 355 to 1375 of the family's 1533-position model. RNAcentral also lists the same sequence under 1 other name. The record is from RNAcentral.
UGGGGGAUAUUGCGCAAUGGGGGCAACCCUGACGCAGCAACGCCGCGUGAAGGAUGAAGGUUUUCGGAUUGUAAACUUCUUUUAUUAAGGACGAAAAAUGACGGUACUUAAUGAAUAAGCUCCGGCUAACUACGUGCCAGCAGCCGCGGUAAUACGUAGGGAGCAAGCGUUGUCCGGAUUUACUGGGUGUAAAGGGUGCGUAGGCGGCUUUGCAAGUCAGAUGUGAAAUCUAUGGGCUCAACCCAUAAACUGCAUUUGAAACUGUAGAGCUUGGGUGAAGUAGAGGCAGGCGGAAUUCCCCGUGUAGCGGUGAAAUGCGUAGAGAUGGGGAGGAACACCAGUGGCGAAGGCGGCCUGCUGGGCUUUAACUGACGCUGAGGCACGAAAGCGUGGGUAGCAAACAGGAUUAGAUACCCUGGUAGUCCACGCUGUAAACGAUGAUUACUAGGUGUGGGGGGUCUGACCCCUUCCGUGCCGGAGUUAACACAAUAAGUAAUCCACCUGGGGAGUACGGCCGCAAGGUUGAAACUCAAAGGAAUUGACGGGGGCCCGCACAAGCAGUGGAGUAUGUGGUUUAAUUCGAAGCAACGCGAAGAACCUUACCAGGUCUUGACAUCCAACUAACGAAGUAGAGAUACAUUAGGUGCCCUUCGGGGAAAGUUGAGACAGGUGGUGCAUGGUUGUCGUCAGCUCGUGUCGUGAGAUGUUGGGUUAAGUCCCGCAACGAGCGCAACCCUUGCUAUUAGUUGCUACGCAAGAGCACUCUAAUAGGACUGCCGUUGACAAAACGGAGGAAGGUGGGGACGACGUCAAAUCAUCAUGCCCCUUAUGACCUGGGCUACACACGUACUACAAUGGAUGUUAACAGAGGGAAGCAAGACAGCGAUGUGGAGCAAACCCCUAAAAACAUUCUCAGUUCAGAUUGCAGGCUGCAACCCGCCUGCAUGAAGAUGGAAUUGCUAGUAAUCGCGGAUCAGCAUGCCGCGGUGAAUACGUUCCC